ACUCAAAGGAAUAGACGGGGGCCCGCACAAGCGGAGGAGCAUGUGGCUCAAUUCGAUGCAACGCGAAGAACCUUACCAGGACUUGACAUGCAGCUGCACGUCCGUCGAAAGGCGGAUUCCUUCGAGGGUGCUGCACAGGUGCUGCAUGGCUGUCGUCAGUUCGUGCCGUGAGGUGUUGGGUUAAGUCCCGCAACGAACGCAACCCCUGUGUUUAGUUGCCACCGCCGCAAGGCGAGCACUCUAAACAGACUGCCUGUACAAAACAGGAGGAAGGUGGGGACGACGUCAAGUCAGUAUGGCCCUUAUGUCCUGGGCUGCACACGUGCUACAAUGGCCGGUACAGAGGGAAGCAAGACCGCGAGGUGGAGCAAAUCCUUAAAACCGGUCCCAGUUCGGAUUGGAGGCUGAAACUCGCCUCCAUGAAGUUGGAUUCGCUAGUAACGGCGUAUCAGCUACGACGCCGUGAAUACGUUCCCGGGCCUUGUACACACCGCCCGU
This 498-nucleotide ribosomal RNA is filed under the name uncultured bacterium. RNAcentral describes it as "partial 16S ribosomal RNA". It matches the Rfam family "Bacterial small subunit ribosomal RNA", at positions 899 to 1397 of the family's 1533-position model. The record is from RNAcentral.